AUGUCUGUUCUAGGAGUAUGCAAGUUCGGUGAGCAGGUACGCAGUACAGUGGAACAGGCGGAUUGCUUUACUGUAGCAACAAAUACUGUAAUGCACAGUUCUCGUAAUUUCAACAGGAAUUUAUUUCCAACAGUGAAUUCCAUUCACCUCAACUGCAGGCCUCUGUGGCUCUCUCCAAUGGCAACCGGAGGGCACCUUCACCUGAGUACUGAUGCUGUGCUGGACUACAUUACCCAUAUGCCUCAUUCCUCAGACUAAUCACCACCAGGUGUUCGUAAUUCCACUCCCUAUAUAAACUGGUUCCAGACUCUCAUUCAACGCAAGUUUAGUCUGUCUUGCAUUUCUGAGCAUUUAUUCUGGACUGGUUACCUGUGUAUUAUCUUGGACUGCUCCUGUUCUAUUGAUUCUCUGCCGCCUGCCUACUGACCCUCUGCUUUGUCUCUGACCUGUCUACUGCCUGCCGCCUGCCCUGAUUCAGGUCUGGUAACCGACCUUGAUUCUGUUUAUCUGUGAUAUCCUUGACGCUGUUGUUAGACCUCUGCCUGGUAAUUCUACGUUUCUAAAUAAACAUUGCAAAUGGAUCCAAAUGCCCCUGACUCCUCAUUACAAUAACCACCACAGAUGGUUAUCAUUUACUCUAUUACAUUAUUAGAAAAUCAGUGUGUAUAUAUACAAACCCGAUUCCAAAAAAGUUGGGACACUGUACAAAUUGUGAGUAAAAAAGGAAUGGAAUAAUUUACAAAUCUUAUAAACUUAUAUUUUAUUCACAAUAGAAUAUAGAUAACAAAUCAAAUGUUGAAAGUGAGAAAUUUUGAAAUGUCAUGCCAAAAAUUCAGAGAUGCACAUUCCAAAAAAGUUGGGACAGGUAGCAAUAAGAGGCUGGAAAAGUUAAAUGUACAAAUAAGGAACAGCUGGAGGACCAAUUUGCAACUUAUUAGGUCAACUGGCAACAUAAUUGGGUAUAAAAAGAGCAGAAAGGAGUUUCUCAGAGAAAAACUGCAAAGAGUUUGAAGUUAUCAUCUGCAGUGCAUAAUAUCAUCCAAAGAUUCAGGGAAUCUGGAACAAUCUCUGUGCGUAAGGGUCAAGGCCGGAAAACCAUACUGGAUGCCCAUGAUCUUCGGGCCCUUAGACGGCACUGCAUCACAUACAGGAAGGCUACUGUAAUGAAAAUCACAACAUGGGCUCAGGAAUUCUUGCAGAAAACAUUGUCGGUGAACACAAUCCACCGUUGCCGGCUAAAACUCUAUAGGUCAAAAAAGUAGCCAUAUCUAAACAUGAUCCAGAAGCGCAGGUGUUUUCUCUGGGCCAAGGCUCAUUUAAAAUGGACUGUGGCAAAGUGAAAAACUGUUCUUUGGUCAGACGAAUCAAAAUCUGACGUUCUUUUUGGAAAACUGGGAUGCCAUGUCAUCCGGACAUGAUGUAGGAUCUAGUAUCUAGAAGCCUCAGAAGGACUGGUUUAGGAUGGACAUACUGUAUACUCACUCAGAUGCAGUCAUCCAUUUGAGAAGCAGCCCUCGUCUUUAUGAGUGAAUCAUUGAAUUGUUCACUCAACCAUUUUGUUCAUAAGCACUAAUUAAUUCAGGAACAAAACAAGUACUUUAUGAGUAGUGUUGGGCUUGUUACUUGUUACAAAAUUUAAUGUAUUACUUGUUACUAGUUACUCAUUUUAAAAGUAAUAUUAUUACUUUACAUACAGUAUUACUUCCUGGCAACAGUUAUUAGUUACACUACUCAUUACAUUACUUUUCCUUCAUGCCCCACAGAAGUUGUAAUUGUGUAUCUUCCCCAUAAAAUUCUUCUAAAAUGUGAUGUAAUACCAGAAUAAAGUAAUGCCACAACUUACACAUCUGCGUUCAGAUCACCUUUUCUCCUGACAAAAUCAGUGUAAUGGCAAUAUUUCUAUCCCCUGAAUAUAAGCUUUUCCAUAUGCCAAGCUUUCCUGAUGCACCGGUGAUUUCAUGUGCCUGUGUCGUGAAAAUUAUGAAAAUAAAUCUAGGAAUUAACAAGGCAUCAAAAGUAACUAGCUGUUUAAUGGAUGGUAACUGUAAUAUUGUUACUUAAUCUUAAAAGUAAUUAGUUUCACUACUAGUUAUUGCAAAAAAAGAAAAAAAAAAUAUUAUUACUGCAACUAGUUACUGCCCAGCACUGUUUAUGAGUAAGGCAGUCACUCCUACAAUUCAUUCAAAAACAUAGAUUUAUUUAGGAAAGCCAUAAAUUUAUUCUCAAAGACAACUGUUGCUUUUGCUAUGAUUUAGUUUGGAAGUAUUUGUGUUGAUGGUGGAAAACAAAACAAUUAAUGUAAUUCACUCAGCUUCCUCUCUACUGAACUGGUAUAUAAAAGCAGUAUCACACUCCUCUAGCUGAGGCUGCAGGUAAUCUGAAACUGAUUUUGGCACAACAUUCUCAUGUGAUAUUUCCUAAAUGUUAAAUGUUUCAAAUGCAGCACAUUUAUUUAGCAAAGUUUACCUAUCUACAGUAAAUGCUUAAUGGUUGGUGAAAUGGAUCACUGCCUUCAGGGUGAUGUGUUUAAUUCUCAGCAUUGAUUCUUCUGUCCAUAGUCAUUUUACCCUAGAGAACCGCAGUUAAUCUCUUGAUCUGAGGUUUUGCAAGUCCAGCUGAACAUCUUGUUUCCAUUUUUAAUUUAUUAGUUGUGGAAAAAAAUUCUGUGUAGUUUUGUACUGCAAUUCUAUUUUGCCACUGAGCUGAAUUAAUACACUAUUGUGAUAAUUAUUAUUAUUUUGACAGGUUGAGGUGCCUGAAACAUAAUUUACUAUGGCUAAAUUUCAAAUCUAAAUCUGGUCUUUAUAAUUACAUCUGCAAGUUGGACAGGCUGUCUGCUUUUGAAUGGCAAACAUUUCAAGGAGCUAUAGAUUUGUGAAAGCAUAU
Cyprinus carpio carpio is the source of this 2886-nucleotide long non-coding RNA. NCBI's taxonomy places the organism in Eukaryota, Metazoa, Chordata, Actinopteri, Cypriniformes, Cyprinidae. The record is from Ensembl.